GACUACUCCGGUGGCAUAGUGGUUAUAGCGUCUGCCUCGAUUGCGGGAGGUCGUGGGUUCGAUCCCCAGCCGAGUCA
This is a non-coding RNA of Potamilus streckersoni, 77 nucleotides long. Lineage: Eukaryota; Metazoa; Mollusca; Bivalvia; Unionida; Unionidae. The record is from the annotation of a GenBank genome assembly.